This 814-nucleotide long non-coding RNA is filed under the name Ananas comosus (pineapple). RNAcentral's name for it is "long non-coding RNA (ACOM_LNC015119)". Lineage: Eukaryota; Viridiplantae; Streptophyta; Magnoliopsida; Poales; Bromeliaceae. The record is from RNAcentral.
AGGAGUAGAGUAGUUAUUCCAUGUUUCUUUGUUACUCUAUUUAGCUGUUCUGCAUAUCCGGUAUCAUGUUUAGAGUAGAGCAUCUUCGUGACUUUCAUUGUUUGAUGACCGUUGAGGUCGGUAUACCCUGAUGGGUGAGAUUGUCGGUUAAUGGCCGACGGAUGAUUAUAGUUUUCACAUAUCCGUCAUUUGACCCUUUGUGACCUAGUCUGUCAGUUCUGGAUUCUUGUCGUUUGAUGACCCACGAGGUCGGUGUACCCUGAGGGGUAGGAUUGUCAGCUAGUGGCUGACGGCAGUUCCAGAUUAUAGUGAUACAUUCCUGUGACUUAUUGGUUGAUUCUUGCAUCUAUACUUUAGUUGAUCCAUCGAGCAGUAUUUCCAUACUUUUGAGAGGAUGUUGAGUCGAUUCGUUGUGCAUAUAUCCUAGUUGACCUGAGUGGUCAGUCCUUGUGGUUCAUUGAGCAGUACUUGCAUAUGUUUGAGAGGAUGUCGAUGUUGUCCCAUCCUAGUUGACCUGAGUGGUCGGUUCUUGUGCUUCCUUACAGUUGGAUGACCUUUUGGUCGGUUAGCCCCGAGGGGCGGUGAUUGUCGGCUGAUUGCCGACGGUUGGCUAUUGAUCAUAUCCGCAUUGAUCGCCACAGCUCGAGUGCAUUUCACGUACACCAGCGGGUUGAUCCCCCGCAGGAGGGUGUUCUUUUCCGGAAAAGUGGUCGUACAUCCGACCCGUGAGCCCAGCGGUGUUCUCUUUGUGCUAGGGUUACAUGCCAGGUGUGAGCAGGUAGUGGCUUUUGCCUGAGGUCCUUAGACCGACACG